UACGGAGGGUGCGAGCGUUGUCCGGAAUCAUUGGGCGUAAAGGGCGCGUAGGUGGCCUGCUAAGCGUGCGGUGAAAGUCGGGGGCUCAACCCCCGAUCGGCCGUGCGAACUGGGAGGCUUGAGCACUGUAGAGGCAGGCGGAAUUCCGGGUGUAGCGGUGGAAUGCGUAGAGAUCCGGAAGAACACCGGUGGCGAAGGCGGCCUGCUGGGCAGUUUUGGCUGACACUGAGGCGCGGACAGCGUGGGGAGCAAACAGG
RNAcentral lists this ribosomal RNA (257 nucleotides) under uncultured bacterium. RNAcentral's name for it is "partial 16S ribosomal RNA". It matches the Rfam family "Bacterial small subunit ribosomal RNA", at positions 524 to 776 of the family's 1533-position model. The record is from RNAcentral.